RNAcentral lists this transfer RNA (69 nucleotides) under Plethodon ouachitae (Rich Mountain salamander). RNAcentral describes it as "tRNA-His". It matches the Rfam family "tRNA". From Rfam's summary of the family: Transfer RNA (tRNA) molecules are approximately 80 nucleotides in length. Their secondary structure includes four short double-helical elements and three loops (D, anti-codon, and T loops). The record is from RNAcentral. RNAcentral also lists the same sequence under 1 other name. Lineage: Eukaryota; Metazoa; Chordata; Amphibia; Caudata; Plethodontidae.
GUACACAUAAUUUAAUUAAAAUGCUAGGCCGUGGCCCUAAAAAUGAAAGUUCAACACUUUCUGUAAACC